Molecule: ribosomal RNA, 198 nt
Filed under: uncultured bacterium
Lineage: Bacteria
Description: partial 16S ribosomal RNA
Rfam family: Bacterial small subunit ribosomal RNA
Source: RNAcentral
ACGCUCGACACCUACGGGCGGCAGCAGUGGGGAAUAUUGCACAAUGGGGGAAACCCUGAUGCAGCGACGCCGCGUGAGCGAAGAAGUAUUUCGGUAUGUAAAGCUCUAUCAGCAGGGAAGAAACUGACGGUACCUGACUAAGAAGCACCGGCUAAAUACGUGCCAGCAGCAGCGGUAAUCUGAGCGGGCUGGCAAGGC